Molecule: ribosomal RNA, 497 nt
Filed under: uncultured bacterium
Lineage: Bacteria
Description: partial 16S ribosomal RNA
Rfam family: Bacterial small subunit ribosomal RNA
Source: RNAcentral
GAUGAACGCUGGCGGCGUGCCUAAUACAUGCAAGUCGAACGAACAGAUGAUGAUCUUGCUCCUCGGACGUUAGCGGCGCACGUGUGAAUAACGCGUGUAUAACCUACCUGUAAUACUGGUAUAACUUCGGGAAACCGGAGCUAAUCCCGGAGAAUAUAUUGCACCACGUUGGGGGAUGGUAAAAUACGGUGUUGGUGGCACUUAUAGAUGGAUCCGCGCCGCAUUAGGUAGUUGGUAAGGUAACGGGUUUCCAAGGGAACCAUGCGUAUACGACCUGAGAGGGUGAUCGGCCACCUUGGAGGUGAGCCGCGGACCAGACUACUACGGUAGGCAGCAGUAGGGAACCUUAGGCAGUGGUCGAAAGCAUGACGGAGCAACCCGGCGUGUGUUGUGACGGUCUUCGGAUCGGAAAACCCUCUUAUUAGUGAAGAACCAAUGUGUAAGUAACCAUGCCCGGCUUGACGGUAACUAAUAAGAAAGCACCGGCUAACUACGUG